Molecule: ribosomal RNA, 702 nt
Filed under: uncultured bacterium
Lineage: Bacteria
Description: bacterial SSU rRNA
Rfam family: Bacterial small subunit ribosomal RNA
Source: RNAcentral
CGACGGAGCUGCUUUGAUGAAGUUUUCGGAUGGAUUUAAAACAGCUUAGUGGCGGACGGGUGAGUAACGCGUGGGUAACCUGCCUCACACUGGGGGAUAACAGUUAGAAAUAGCUGCUAAUACCGCAUAAGCGCACGGUUCCGCAUGGAACAGUGUGAAAAACUCCGGUGGUGUGAGAUGGACCCGCGUCUGAUUAGCCAGUUGGCGGGGUAACGGCCCACCAAAGCGACGAUCAGUAGCCGGCCUGAGAGGGUGAACGGCCACAUUGGGACUGAGACACGGCCCAAACUCCUACGGGAGGCAGCAGUGGGGAAUAUUGCACAAUGGGGGAAACCCUGAUGCAGCGACGCCGCGUGAGUGAAGAAGUAUUUCGGUAUGUAAAGCUCCAUCAGCAGGGAAGAAAGUGACGGUACCUGAAUAAGAAGCCCCGGCUAACUACGUGCCAGCAGCCGCGGUAAUACGUAGGGGGCAAGCGUUAUCCGGAUUUACUGGGUGUAAAGGGAGCGUAGACGGCAAGGCAAGUCUGAAGUGAAAGCCCGGUGCUUAACGCCGGGACUGCUUUGGAAACUGUUUAGCUGGAGUGCCGGAGAGGUAAGCGGAAUUCCUAGUGUAGCGGUGAAAUGCGUAGAUAUUAGGAAGAACACCAGUGGCGAAGGCGGCUUACUGGACGGUAACUGACGUUGAGGCUCGAAAGCGUGGGGA